RNAcentral lists this ribosomal RNA (499 nucleotides) under uncultured bacterium. RNAcentral's name for it is "partial 16S ribosomal RNA". It matches the Rfam family "Bacterial small subunit ribosomal RNA", at positions 28 to 523 of the family's 1533-position model. The record is from RNAcentral.
GAUGAACGCUAGCGGCAGGCUUAACACAUGCAAGUCGAGGGGUAUAGUUCUUCGGAACUAGAGACCGGCGCACGGGUGCGUAACGCGUAUGUAAUCUACCUUUUACAGGGGGAUAGCCCAGAGAAAUUUGGAUUAAUACCCCAUAGUAUGUUGUGGUGGCAUCACUAUAACCUUAAAGGUCCAACGGCAAAAGAUGAGCAUGCGUCCCAUUAGCUAGAUGGUAAGGUAACGGCUUACCAUGGCUACGAUGGGUAGGGGUCCUGAGAGGGAGAUCCGCCACACUGGAACGGAGACACGGUCCAGACUCCUACGGGAGGCAGCAGGGGGGAAUUUUGGACAAUGGGCGAAAGCCUGAUCCAGCCAUUCCGCGUGCAGGAUGAAGGCCCUCGGGUUGUAAACUGCUUUUGUACAGAACGAAAAGGUAUCUACUAAUACUAGGAGCUCAUGACGGUACUGUAAGAAUAAGCACCGGCUAACUACGUGCCAGCCGCCGCCGUAA